GACGAACGCUGGCGGCGCGCCUAACACAUGCAAGUCGAACGGUGAAGAGGAGCUUGCUCCUCGGAACAGUGGCGGACGGGUGAGUAACACGUGAGCAACCUGGCUCUAAGAGGGGGACAACAGUUGGAAACGACUGCUAAUACCGCAUGACGUAUCGGGAUGGCAUCUUCCUGAUACCAAAGAUUUUAUCGCUUAGAGAUGGGCUCGCGUCUGAUUAGAUAGUUGGCGUGGUAACGGCCCACCAAGUCGACGAUCAGUAGCCGGACUGAGAGGUUGAACGGCCACAUUGGGACUGAGACACGGCCCAGACUCCUACGGGAGGCAGCAGUGGGGGAUAUUGGACAAUGGGGGCAACCCUGAUCCAGCGACGCCGCGUGAGGGAAGAAGGUUUUCGGAUUGUAAACCUCUGUUGACGGAGAAAAAAAUGAUGGUAUCCGUUUAGAAAGCCACGGCUAACUACGUG
Molecule: ribosomal RNA, 463 nt
Filed under: uncultured bacterium
Lineage: Bacteria
Description: partial 16S ribosomal RNA
Rfam family: Bacterial small subunit ribosomal RNA
Source: RNAcentral